GGAACCUAUGUGGGACCUUCCAGCAGUUCCUUCUCUUCUGCACCAGGGUCCUAUCCUACACCCAGACCCAGCAUCACUCAACCUGGAGGUUGAAAGGGAAAGGCUUCUAGAGAAGAGUUUCUCGGUUGCAGUCACAUAUAACCUAUUACAGGCUCGGAAGCAUUCCUCUACCUACUAUAGAAUUUGGGACGCAUUUUCUUCCUGAGCCUCUCCUAAGUAGGUUAACAUACAGCAUCCUGCUAUUAAAGACAUCUUGGAGUUUCUACAAACCGGUCCGUAUAAGGAUUUGAGCUACAACACCUUAUAGGUACAUGUCUCUAAAAUUACCCCCAUGAUGGCAUACCAUUUGCA
Molecule: non-coding RNA, 351 nt
Organism: Pelobates cultripes (western spadefoot toad)
Lineage: Eukaryota; Metazoa; Chordata; Amphibia; Anura; Pelobatidae
Source: the annotation of a GenBank genome assembly